UACGUAGGGUGCAAGCGUUAUCCGGAAUUAUUGGGCGUAAAGGGCUCGUAGGCGGUUCGUCGCGUCCGGUGUGAAAGUCCAUCGCUUAACGGUGGAUCUGCGCCGGGUACGGGCGGGCUGGAGUGCGGUAGGGGAGACUGGAAUUCCCGGUGUAACGGUGGAAUGUGUAGAUAUCGGGAAGAACACCAAUGGCGAAGGCAGGUCUCUGGGCCGUUACUGACGCUGAGGAGCGAAAGCGUGGGGAGCGAACAGG
RNAcentral lists this ribosomal RNA (253 nucleotides) under uncultured bacterium. Its description in RNAcentral is "partial 16S ribosomal RNA". It matches the Rfam family "Bacterial small subunit ribosomal RNA", at positions 524 to 776 of the family's 1533-position model. RNAcentral also lists the same sequence under 1 other name. The record is from RNAcentral.